GCCCGAGUGGCGAAAUCCGGAAUACGCGUCGGCCCUAGGAGCCGAUGGGGGUAAUACCUCGUGUGGGUUCGAGUCCCACCUCGGGCA
Molecule: non-coding RNA, 87 nt
Organism: Chloroflexi bacterium 13_1_40CM_4_69_19
Lineage: Bacteria; Bacillati; Chloroflexota
Source: Rfam